Molecule: ribosomal RNA, 292 nt
Filed under: uncultured bacterium
Lineage: Bacteria
Description: partial 16S ribosomal RNA
Rfam family: Bacterial small subunit ribosomal RNA
Source: RNAcentral
GUGCCAGCAGCCGCGGUAAUACGGAGGGUGCAAGCGUUGUUCGGAUUUACUGGGCGUAAAGGGCGUGUAGGCGGUUAACUAAGUCAGAUGUGAAAUCCCUUAGCUUAACUAAGGAAGUGCAUUUGAAACUGGCUAACUGGAGUACAGGAGAGGAAAGUGGAAUUCCCAGUGUAGAGGUGAAAUUCAUAGAUAUUGGGAGGAACACCGGUAGCGAAGGCGGCUUUCUGGCCUGAUACUGACGCUGAGACGCGAAAGCGUGGGUAGCAAACAGGAUUAGAAACCCCAGUAGUCC